CCGAGUUCCGAAGGACACGCGGUGGUCUAAAUAUGCCACUUCGUGCCCCGGCCUCCAACCCUUUGUGAACACAACUUGUUGCUUCGGGGGCGACCCUGCCGUUCGCGGCGGGCGCCCCCGGAGGCCUUCCAACACUGCAUCUCUGCGUCGGAGUUUAAGU
This 160-nucleotide unclassified non-coding RNA is filed under the name uncultured Mycosphaerellaceae. Lineage: Eukaryota; Fungi; Ascomycota; Dothideomycetes; Mycosphaerellales; Mycosphaerellaceae. The record is from RNAcentral.